RNAcentral lists this ribosomal RNA (404 nucleotides) under uncultured bacterium. RNAcentral's name for it is "bacterial SSU rRNA". It matches the Rfam family "Bacterial small subunit ribosomal RNA", at positions 355 to 776 of the family's 1533-position model. The record is from RNAcentral.
UGGGGAAUCUUAGACAAUGGGCGCAAGCCUGAUCUAGCCAUGCCGCGUGAGCGAUGAAGGCCUUAGGGUUGUAAAGCUCUUUCAGAUGGGAAGAUAAUGACUGUACCAUCAGAAGAAGCCCCGGCUAACUCCGUGCCAGCAGCCGCGGUAAUACGGAGGGGGCUAGCGUUGUUCGGAAUUACUGGGCGUAAAGCGCACGUAGGCGGACUGGAAAGUCAGAGGUGAAAUCCCAGGGCUCAACCUUGGAACUGCCUUUGAAACUCCCAGUCUUGAGGUCGAGAGAGGUGAGUGGAAUUCCGAGUGUAGAGGUGAAAUUCGUAGAUAUUCGGAGGAACACCAGUGGCGAAGGCGGCUCACUGGCUCGAUACUGACGCUGAGGUGCGAAAGCGUGGGGAGCAAACAGG